RNAcentral lists this ribosomal RNA (483 nucleotides) under uncultured bacterium. RNAcentral describes it as "partial 16S ribosomal RNA". It matches the Rfam family "Bacterial small subunit ribosomal RNA", at positions 28 to 507 of the family's 1533-position model. The record is from RNAcentral.
GACGAACGCUGGCGGCGUGCUUAACACAUGCAAGUCGAACGCUGAAGCUCAGCUUUUGUUGGGUGGAUGAGUGGCGAACGGGUGAGUAACACGUGAGUAACCUGCCCCCUUCUUUGGGAUAACGCCCGGAAACGGGUGCUAAUACUGGAUAUUCACUGGUCUUCGCAUGGGGGUUGGUGGAAAGGGUUUUUCUGGUGGGGGAUGGGCUCGCGGCCUAUCAGCUUGUUGGUGGGGUGAUGGCCUACCAAGGCUUUGACGGGUCGCCGGCCUGAGAGGGUGACCGGGCACAUUAGGACUGUAGUACGGCCCAGACUAGUACGGGAGGCAGCAGUGGGGAAUAUUGCACAAUGGGCGCUAGCCUGAUGCAGCGACGCCGCGUGAGGGAUGGAGGCCUUCGGGUUGUGAACCUCUGUCGCUCAUGGUCAAGCCGCAACAAUGGUUGUGGUGAAGGUAGUGGGUAAAGAAGCGCCGGCUAACUACGUG